This is a non-coding RNA of Stegodyphus mimosarum, 73 nucleotides long. Lineage: Eukaryota; Metazoa; Arthropoda; Arachnida; Araneae; Eresidae. The record is from Rfam.
GCCUUCGUGGUGUAGUGGUCAGCACGCUCGGCGCAUAUUCGAGAGGUACGUGGUUCGAGUCCCGGUGAGGGCA